This 1313-nucleotide long non-coding RNA is filed under the name Homo sapiens (human). RNAcentral's name for it is "HSALNT0027532". The record is from RNAcentral. Lineage: Eukaryota; Metazoa; Chordata; Mammalia; Primates; Hominidae.
CUGGCAGUCUGCAUCAUUUCGCCACAGUGUGAAACCAUUGGCUGAUGUAUAAAGUGGAAGCCCCAGGAACCUCUCAAGGCCCAGCUUCAGCCUCACCUUCCCUGUGGUCUUCUUCAAGCAGACCCAUACCAAGCUCUCUGUGCUUUGGAAACUGCCAGUGAGGUGAAGUGGGGAGGCAUCGGAGCGACAGCCACGUUGUAUGCCUGCUGCACGAGCCAGACCGCAGGACAAUACUCAAUGAGAGGCACCAACAUCCAUCCUGGCUGAGCUGAUGAUGGUGAGAGGCCACAGAGCCAUGAAAAUGACUUGGAGCAGCCUCCAUGUAUUCCUCAGGGUUGAAUCAUUGUGUGCACCACAGAGCAUUUGCUUUGUAAAAAAGCUAACACUGUGAAAAAUGGGGUAGGCACUUCCUGUUUUGACCAGGAACAAAUGCAAACCAGACCCUGCUCCUCUCACCAGGCAGAGCUUGCUCUUUCAAUUCAGAGAUAUCUUCAAGGACCCAAUUAUGCUGUGGUGCGGAAUGGAGCAUGUAUGUAACUGAGGUUCCUGCCAAAGACAUCAUCUCCUGGCUGAAUGGCAAGACUGGCCAGGACACCAGGAAACUGAGACUGAUUGGACACACAAGAAUGUGAGCUGGGUAAGCAGAAUGAAGGCCCUGGGCAUAACUUGAACACCCGAGGAACUUGAACCCAAGGCUGGCACAAAAGCCAGAAGGUGUUACUCUCCACCAGCUCAGGGAUUGUGAAGAUCUCUGUGCAGACUCCACUCUGCGGUUGGACAGCAUCCCUGAGACAUGCAUUUUGGAAAUUGUGAUCAACCAGAAUCCAGAACACGCUGUGCUUAAUGGAGUGAACUGCCUGUGAAGCGCAGGUGUGAGGGGCGGAUGAUAAGUGACAGUGCCGGUGCCCCCAGCGCCCUUUUACCUGAUGGCUCACCCGGCCUACAGCUGCGCCCUUCCCUUUGAAUCGUCUUGGGUAACGGGUGCUGCUUUGGAAAUGCCUGGAAGGUCAUGUCCUUUGUCUGGGGAUGGCUUCCAGCUGUGGUUGACUGAUAGCAGGGGGCACAGAAGGCCAGACACAACUUGCCUCAGGUGGGCCGACUCUGAGGGUUUGUUCGGCCUCCACGUGGACUUCAGCUGAGCCUGCAUCUUUGCUUGGCUUUUCCCACUGGCCUAUUCUGCUUCCCUCUCCUUAAGGGUUCUCCCAGGAGAACUCCCUUAAUAAAUCACUUGCACAAGGAUCCCUGUCUUAGCCUUUGCUUCUAGAAAACCUGACCUAAGAUAAAUAGGUCGUGGGAACACGAGAGAAAGAGAU